AAACCAUGUGAUGAACUUGGAUUUACAUAAUCUCAUGACGGUCAUCUGAGAUUCACUAUGAUGUUAUAAUCCAAUAUUUCUGAGUGGUU
RNAcentral lists this small nucleolar RNA (89 nucleotides) under Lupinus angustifolius (narrow-leaved blue lupine). RNAcentral describes it as "Small nucleolar RNA Z161/Z228". It matches the Rfam family "Small nucleolar RNA Z161/Z228". Rfam says of the family: Z161 and Z228 are members of the C/D class of snoRNA which contain the C (UGAUGA) and D (CUGA) box motifs. The record is from Rfam by way of RNAcentral. Lineage: Eukaryota; Viridiplantae; Streptophyta; Magnoliopsida; Fabales; Fabaceae.